GUACUGAUGAAGAGCUCCAAACUAGGACGAAACAGCUGUCCAGUAC
Molecule: non-coding RNA, 46 nt
Organism: Trichobilharzia regenti
Lineage: Eukaryota; Metazoa; Platyhelminthes; Trematoda; Strigeidida; Schistosomatidae
Source: Rfam